UCUUAUUUAGUGAAGAGAGAAGUGAACGAAGAACUCCUCUCAUUCUCAUUCCCAGCAUUCGAAUUUGGGAUUCUGGUUUUGGAUUCCGAAGUUCUGCGAGAAUGGUUUCGAUUCAUUUGCUUAUUUACGGAUUAGAAUUCUCCGAUCUGCCUUGUUGACGCGUUUGAAGCAUAAACUUAGAUGCUCGCUACCUGUUCGACGAAUUGCCGCAACAGUAUCAUUGUUCUUGCAUCUCUGUAAGCUCUUAUACUCUUGAACUUACUCCAUUAAGGAUUUUUCGAUUUUCCUUUUGUUUGUUCUAUGCAUUUUUUCCGGUGAUGCUUCGGCGCGUUUUAGUUCCACUUGCUUUAUCCAAAGCUGGAAGAUUUUUGACAAGUUCAUCCAAAGCAUCAUUCACGAAAUAUGGUGUUUCGUUAAGUAGGAUUAAUGAAUGUGGGAAAAUUCAGGGGUUCCCGAAGUCGAUACUCGAUCAUAAAUGGCUUAUCAGCUCAUGUUUUCUACGUGGAUCAACAAUUGAGUAUUCAACCAUCUCUUGUUUGUGGCUUUCCAGCUCGAAUUCUAGGAAAUUUUGCAGUUUAGAGCCUUUGGGAUCGAAGAAUGUCUCUGAUGAUUGUGAGAUUGAUUCUGUCGAUACGGUCUAUAAAUUGGUGUUGGAUCACUCGAAUCCCGAAUACAAAAUGGAGAGUGCUCUUGAAACAGUCGAUGUUAAAUUGACGACGCCUCUUGUGUUAGAGGUCUUGCAUAGGCUUCGAUUCGAUGAGAAAACGGCGUUCAGGUUCUUUACUUUGGUAGGCCGUCGAGAAGACUAUCAUCACGAGGCUGAAUCGUAUAACAAAAUGAUCGACAUUCUUUCGAGUACUAAGCACAAGGUGAAACAGUUUCGAAUUGUUUGCGAUCUUCUGGAUUACAUGAAACGCCGCAACAAACGGUCUGUUCCCGUCGAUGUGCUGACGAUGAAUCUGAGACGGUACACGGAGAACCACUUGACGCAUCUUCAGAAGUUUUCGAAGAAAAAGAAGAUAAGAGUGAAGACGAAGCCAGAGAUAAAUGCGCUAAAUUUACUGCUCGAUGCUUUGUGCAAGUGCUGUCUCGUCGAGGACGCUGAGCUGAUGGUUGCUCGGGUGAAAAGCAAGAUCAAACCCGAUGCGCAGACGUAUAGUAUUCUGUUCUUCGGAUGGUGCCGAGUCCGGAAUCCGUAUCGAGGCAUGAAAGUGCUCCAGGAGAUGAUCGAUGUAGGUCACGCGCCGGAUAAUUUCACGUACAACACUGCGAUCGAUACCUUCUGCAAGUCGGGAAUGCUGAAAGAAGCGCGCGAGCUUUUGGGGUUCAUGAAAACCAAUGGGUCGACUACGUCGUCGCCGACUGCAAAAACGUACUCGAUUAUGAUGCUCGCGCUCGUCCGGAACGAUCGAAUGGAUGAAUCCCUUAAACUCUUGGAAGAAAUGAUCGGCAACGGCUGCCUCCCUGACGUAACGACAUACAAAGAAAUUGUCGAAGGUAUGGUUUCGUGCGGACACGUCGAAGCUGCGUAUGGAUUUUUAGAAGCGAUGGCGCGGACGGGGUACCCUCCCGAUAUUGUUACGUACAACUGUUUUCUCAAGGUUCUCUGCGGAAGUAAGAAUCGGGAAGAGUCAAUUAGGCUUUUCGAGAAAAUGACGGAGGCGGGGUGUGCGCCAAGCGUGCAAACCUACAACAUUUUGAUCGAAAUGUUCUUCGCGAUGGGCGAUCCCGACGGCGCGUUUGACGCUUGGGAUGAGAUGGAUCGGAGGGGAUGUGCGCGCGACACGGACACUUAUUGCGUGAUGAUCGAAGGGCUGUUCGGAUGCAAUAACGCGACGGAUGCGAUGUUUCUUCUCGAACAAGUGAUCGAUCGGGGGAUGAAAUUGCCGUAUAAGAAAUUCGAUACCUUUCUGAUGCGGCUCUCUGCCGCGGGCGAUCUUCGAGCGAUCCAAAAACUAUCGGAGCACAUGAGGAGGUUCUACAAUUCAGCUAUGGCGCGACGGUUUGCGCUAAAUCAAAAGCGUAAAAGCACGAGCCUUCGAGGGAAAUGAGAAGAUUGAAAUCUGGUGAUCGAAAAUGGUUCGAUUUUUAGUCCGUCGACUGCCAUGCAUAAUCUUUAACGAUUGCUUUUUUGUUCCUUAUGGCGAACAGAUCGAAGCAGAUGGACCUCGGAGGAGUCGGUUAGUCAUUCGAUGGAACCGGAGAGGCUGAUUGAAUCGAUCGUUUGUGUUUGAAUCUUCAUCCCGAUUGAUCGAUGCAUGUAACAGGGAAGAAGAGGGAUCGAAGAUAGGGUGGCGUGGACAAGAUCAUCGAAUGGAAUUUUCACAACGAGAGAAGGCUGUCAAGCAAUCCAAAAUAGUAAAGUACAUUGUCUGUUGGCAGAUCAUAUUUGGGUAAGUGUUGCUCCUUUCAAGUCCCGAUUGUUAUUGUAAGGAAAUCCCUAUUAGAAUGGAUUUGGUUAGAAGAGGAAUAACGAUAAAUAGGGAAGUAGAGUGUCCAAUGUGCGGAUUAGAAGAUGAAAAGAUCGAUCAUAUUUUUGUGCAAUGCAAUUUCACUACACAUUUGUAGUGGUCGAUGAUUGAACAGUUCAAUA
Andrographis paniculata is the source of this 2593-nucleotide RNA transcript. It is a transcript of the gene named pentatricopeptide repeat-containing protein At1g73400, mitochondrial, with no coding region annotated. NCBI's taxonomy places the organism in Eukaryota, Viridiplantae, Streptophyta, Magnoliopsida, Lamiales, Acanthaceae. The transcript is spliced from 2 exons. The record is from RefSeq and is a predicted model, not a curated record.